This 84-nucleotide transfer RNA is filed under the name Talipariti tiliaceum (sea hibiscus). RNAcentral's name for it is "tRNA-Leu". It matches the Rfam family "tRNA". From Rfam's summary of the family: Transfer RNA (tRNA) molecules are approximately 80 nucleotides in length. Their secondary structure includes four short double-helical elements and three loops (D, anti-codon, and T loops). RNAcentral also lists the same sequence under 5 other names. Lineage: Eukaryota; Viridiplantae; Streptophyta; Magnoliopsida; Malvales; Malvaceae. The record is from RNAcentral.
GGGGAUAUGGCGAAAUCGGUAGACGCUACGGACUAAAAUCCGUCGACUUUAAAAAUCGUGAGGGUUCAAGUCCCUCUAUCCCCA